GACGAACGCUGGCGGCGUGCUUAACACAUGCAAGUCGAACGGUGAAGCGCCUUCCUUUUUGGUGGGUGUGGAUGAGUGGCGAACGGGUGAGUAACACGUGAGUAACCUGCCCCCUUCUUCUGGAUAACCGCAUGAAAGUGUGGCUAAUACGGGAUAUUCUGGGUCUGUCGCAUGAUGGGUCUGGGAAAGAUAUUGUUUCGGUGGGGGAUGGGCUCGCGGCCUAUCAGCUUGUUGGUGGGGUGAUGGCCUACCAAGGCGGUGCCGGGUAGCCGGCCUGAGAGGGUGGACGGUCACACUGGGACUGAGGCACGGCCCAGACUCCUACGGGAGGCAGCAGUGGGGAAUAUUGCACAAUGGGCGCAAGCCUGAUGCAGCGACGCCGCGUGAGGGAUGGAGGCCUUCGGGUUGUGAACCUCUUUCGCCAGUGAAGCAGGCCUGCCUCGUUUGUGGGUGGGUUGACGGUAGCUGGAUAAGAAGCGCCGGCUAACUACGUG
This 494-nucleotide ribosomal RNA is filed under the name uncultured bacterium. Its description in RNAcentral is "partial 16S ribosomal RNA". It matches the Rfam family "Bacterial small subunit ribosomal RNA", at positions 28 to 507 of the family's 1533-position model. The record is from RNAcentral.